GACGAACGCUGGCGGCGUGCUUAACACAUGCAAGUCGAACGGAAAGGCCCUGCUUUUGUUGUGUGCUCGAGUGGCGAACGGGUGAGUAACACGUGAGUAACCUGCCCUUGACUUUGGGAUAACUUCAGGAAACUGGGGCUAAUACCGGAUAGGAGCUCCUGCUGCAUGGUGGGGGUUGGAAAGUUUCGGCGGUUGGGGAUGGACUCGCGGCUUAUCAGCUUGUUGGUGGGGUAGUGGCUUACCAAGGCUUUGACGGGUAGCCGGCCUGAGAGGGUGACCGGCCACAUUGGGACUGAGAUACGGCACAGACUCCUACGGGAGGCAGCAGUGGGGAGUAUUGCACAAUGGGCGGAAGCAUGAUGCAGCAACGCCGCGUGCGGGAUGACGGCAUUCGGGUUGUAAACCGCUUUCGCAUGUGACGAAGCGUGAGUGACGGUAAUGGGUAAAGAAGCACCGGCUAACUACGUG
RNAcentral lists this ribosomal RNA (468 nucleotides) under uncultured bacterium. RNAcentral describes it as "partial 16S ribosomal RNA". It matches the Rfam family "Bacterial small subunit ribosomal RNA", at positions 28 to 507 of the family's 1533-position model. The record is from RNAcentral.